GGCAAUGCUUGCUGUUUGCCGCACAUGUGGAGAAAGAAAACUGGUCCGAAAAGGAGUAAAUUCGCAACUAAUUACCACAUUGAGUAUUCGAGACGUAUCAUCAAUCACCGUGGCUUUCCAUCACACUUAAAAGAGAUGUCUAAAUCUGUCAGUGUUGAAGCCUCACAGACUAAUCUGCUCAGCGUCCUGAUUUACAGAUGAACUAAAUCCGAUCUUCAAUCAUGGUGGCUGUCCAGCACACUGAGCAGAGAUGUCUCAAUCUAUCAAUGUUGAGGCAAGGGGUAAGUUCAGUAGUUUGAUUAAAUCUGGGUCUAAAAUUGAAAAUUCUCAUGGGGUUAGUCCAGCAGUUUUAUCAAAUUUAGGCUGAAAAAUAAAAAUAAAUCUCAAGGGGUACAUGUAAGUCCAGCAGCUUUAUUAAAUUUUUGACCUAAAUUCAAGAAAAAUCACAAAUCAAGGUUGGGUACAAAAAAUGAACAAAUCACAACUGGAGGUCUAGGCUUGGAUAAAAUAUUAAAGUGAGAAGAAAAUGUAUUUUUCAACGUUGCCACCCUAUGUUUGAUAUUUACAGUCCCUUACUCAUUAUUUCCUUCUCAUUCCAUCUUUUUCCGUCUGUAUAUCGAGUAAUCAUCAAUCAUGUUGGCUGUCCAUCACACUGAGCAGAGAUGUCUCAAUCUAUCAAUGUUGAAGCCUUGCAGAGUCGACAGCACUCAACUGUGACAUCUCACAUCUAAAGAUCAAAAUCCAGACGGAGAGUGUCGGAUCUCACAAGGAGUCAGCGUCCAUCAUCGGUAGAGAUGCACAACCUUUUUGUAAUUUGUAAUUGUUUGUAUAUUUUAGGGAUUAAGUUAGAAAUAAUUGUGUGGUGAGUCGUAACUUUCUCUAUUGUGUGGUGAAUCAUUCAAACAUUUCGCUGUGUGGUGAAUCACUGCACUUUUUGUUGUGUGGUGAAUUGCUGACACUUUUUGGUGUGUGGUGAAUUGCUGCCACUUUUCG
This is a long non-coding RNA of Asterias rubens (European starfish), 993 nucleotides long. RefSeq lists it as uncharacterized. Lineage: Eukaryota; Metazoa; Echinodermata; Asteroidea; Forcipulatida; Asteriidae. The transcript has 4 exons. The record is from RefSeq and is a predicted model, not a curated record.